RNAcentral lists this ribosomal RNA (429 nucleotides) under Actinomycetes bacterium. Its description in RNAcentral is "Actinobacteria bacterium partial 16S ribosomal RNA". It matches the Rfam family "Bacterial small subunit ribosomal RNA", at positions 355 to 776 of the family's 1533-position model. The record is from RNAcentral. Lineage: Bacteria; Bacillati; Actinomycetota; Actinomycetes.
UAGGGAAUCUUCCGCAAUGGGCGAAAGCCUGACGGAGCAACGCCGCGUGAGUGAUGAAGGUCUUCGGAUCGUAAAACUCUGUUAUUAGGGAAGAACAAAUGUGUAAGUAACUAUGCAUGUCUUGACGGUACCUAAUCAGAAAGCCACGGCUAACUACGCGCCAGCAGCCGCGGUAAUACGUAGGUGGCAAGCGUUAUCCGGAAGUAUUGGGCGUAAAGCGCGCGUAGGCGGUUUUUUCAGUCUGAUGUGAAAGCCCACGGCUCAACCGUGGAGGGUCAUUGGAAACUGGAAAACUUGAGUGCAGAAGAGGAAAGUGGAAUUCCAUGUGUAGCGGUGAAAUGCGCAGAGAUAUAGAGGAACACCAGUGGCGAAGGCGACUUUCUGGUCUGUAACUGACGCUGAUGUGCGAAAGCGUGGGGCUCAAACAGG